This 73-nucleotide transfer RNA is filed under the name Patescibacteria group bacterium. RNAcentral describes it as "tRNA-Gly". It matches the Rfam family "tRNA". Rfam says of the family: Transfer RNA (tRNA) molecules are approximately 80 nucleotides in length. Their secondary structure includes four short double-helical elements and three loops (D, anti-codon, and T loops). The record is from RNAcentral.
GCGGUGGUAGCUCAGUUGGUAGAGCGUCUGCUUCCCAAGCAGAAGGUCGCGGGUUCGAACCCCGUUCACCGCU